UACGGAGGGGGCAAGCGUUGUUCGGAAUUACUGGGCGUAAAGGGCGCGUAGGCGGCGUGACAGGUCAGGCGUGAAAGCCCCGGGCUCAACCUGGGAACUGCGCUUGAUACGGUCAUGCUAGAGGUUGGGAGAGGAGAGUGGAAUUCCCAGUGUAGAGGUGAAAUUCGUAGAUAUUGGGAAGAACACCAGUGGCGAAGGCGGCUCUCUGGCCCAUACCUGACGCUGAGGCGCGAAAGCGUGGGGAGCAAACAGG
Molecule: ribosomal RNA, 253 nt
Filed under: uncultured bacterium
Lineage: Bacteria
Description: partial 16S ribosomal RNA
Rfam family: Bacterial small subunit ribosomal RNA
Source: RNAcentral